This 251-nucleotide ribosomal RNA is filed under the name uncultured prokaryote. Its description in RNAcentral is "partial 16S rRNA". It matches the Rfam family "Bacterial small subunit ribosomal RNA", at positions 525 to 775 of the family's 1533-position model. The record is from RNAcentral.
ACGGAGGGAGCUAGCGUUGUUCGGAAUCACUGGGCGUAAAGCGUGCGUAGGCGGUGACUCAAGUCAGAGGUGAAAGCCUGGAGCUCAACUCCAGAACUGCCUUUGAAACUAGGUCGCUAGAACAUCGGAGAGGUGAGUGGAAUUCCGAGUGUAGAGGUGAAAUUCGUAGAUAUUCGGAAGAACACCAGUGGCGAAGGCGGCUCACUGGACGAUUGUUGACGCUGAGGCACGAAAGCGUGGGGAGCAAACAG